UCAAGAUUCAAUAUAGGCGUGCAGCGA
Molecule: small RNA, 27 nt
Filed under: Bombyx mori (domestic silkworm)
Lineage: Eukaryota; Metazoa; Arthropoda; Insecta; Lepidoptera; Bombycidae
Description: ovarian small RNA-24719
Source: RNAcentral